RNAcentral lists this unclassified non-coding RNA (339 nucleotides) under Hevea brasiliensis (rubber tree). The record is from RNAcentral. Lineage: Eukaryota; Viridiplantae; Streptophyta; Magnoliopsida; Malpighiales; Euphorbiaceae.
CGAUAAUGUGCAAGCGACAGGCUUCGUCGAGCACCUGAAACUUCCUCACUACGUGGACUUCCAGUCCGAACUCGGCCUGCUGCGGAAACUGCGCAAGGAAUUCGAGGCUGCCAAGGACAGCGACGUUUUGCUGGCGGAGGCCGCCGAAUGAAUGCGCCCGUCUAUAACUUCGCGUACCUCGAUGAGCAGACCAAGCGGAUGAUCCGCCGCGCGAUCCUCAAAGCAAUCGCCAUUCCAGGCUAUCAGGUGCCGUUUGCCAGCCGCGANNNNNNNNNNNNNUGGGGCACCGGCGGCGUGCAGGUGACGGCGGCGAUCCUCGGCCGCGAGGAUACCCUGAAG